RNAcentral lists this transfer RNA (63 nucleotides) under Branchiostoma floridae (Florida lancelet). RNAcentral describes it as "tRNA-Ile". The record is from RNAcentral. Lineage: Eukaryota; Metazoa; Chordata; Leptocardii; Amphioxiformes; Branchiostomatidae.
AGAAAUGUAGUUUAAAAAAAACACUGUUUUGAUAGGGCAGAGAUGCAUAAAAUGUCAUUUUUA